AGUGAACGCUGGCGGUAGGCCUAACACAUGCAAGUCGAACGGCAGCACAGUAAGAGCUUGCUCUUACGGGUGGCGAGUGGCGGACGGGUGAGGAAUACAUCGGAAUCUACUUUUUCGUGGGGGAUAACGUAGGGAAACUUACUCUAAUACCGCAUACGACCUACGGGUGAAAGCAGGGGAUCUUCGGACCCUGCGCGAUUGAAUGAGCCGAUGUCGGAUUAGCUAGUUGGCGGGGUAAAGGCCCACCAAGGCGACGAUCCGUAGCUGGUCUGAGAGGAUGAUAAGCGAAACUGGAACUGAGACACGGUCCAGACUCCUACGGGAGGCAGCAGUGGGGAAUAUUGGACAAUGGGCGCAAGCCUGAUCCAGUCAUACCGCGUGGGUGAAAAAGGCCUUCGGGUUGUAAAGCCCUUUUGUUGGGAAAGAAAAGCAGCAGGUUAAUACCCCGCUGUUAUGACGGUACCCAAAGAAUAAGCACCGGCUAACUUCGUG
RNAcentral lists this ribosomal RNA (492 nucleotides) under uncultured bacterium. RNAcentral describes it as "partial 16S ribosomal RNA". It matches the Rfam family "Bacterial small subunit ribosomal RNA", at positions 29 to 507 of the family's 1533-position model. The record is from RNAcentral.